Molecule: non-coding RNA, 1898 nt
Organism: Aegilops tauschii subsp. strangulata
Lineage: Eukaryota; Viridiplantae; Streptophyta; Magnoliopsida; Poales; Poaceae
Source: RefSeq, a predicted model, not a curated record
GAUCUCCUCAGCGAACCCUAACUCCUCCGCCGCCGCUCGCCCUCUCGCCGCCGCCUCCGCCUCUGCUCGCCCUCGCGCCGCCGCCUCCGCCUCUGCUCGCCCUGGCGCCGCCGCCUCCGCCUCUGCUCGCCCUCGCGCCGCCGCCUCCGCCUCUUCCUCCACGCCCCCUUGGUUCUCAUCAGGAAGACCGUGGCUCGGCGCCGGCCCUCGCGAGUGAGGUAGGACGCGCGCAGGAGGGAGCGGCGGAGGAAGGUGGGGCCGGUGGUCUCUGUCAAUCUGUUGUUGUGUGGUUGCUAUUGUGGUCAUCGAUUUGCAGAUUCGUCUGCUGUUGCCGGUGCCUCCUUUGAUCUGACCCGGUUGUGUCUUCGUUCAUGGAUCUACGGUUAACCCCUCUUCUUCUCCUCCUUUGGUCCUCUCAUGUUAGAGUGCUAGGCAUACGGCGGCAUGGCCAAGUGUUGUGUGUUUGGCCAGCAUGGGCCAUUUGUUGUUUGUCCUGCCUCUGGUAAAGGCCAAAGGUCUUUUCCUCUUUGUCUGGUCUGGUAGUGCCUGCAAUUGGUGCUUCUCCCUUCGUGGAGUAUUUGUGUUUCGUUGCUUUUAGUCUAGCUAGGUUCCAAGGAAGGGGACAUUUAGGCUUUUAUUGUUUUGCUGAUAUGAGGAGACAUGGCCGGAAGCACCAGCGAACCACACCAAUAGUACCUCUCGUUAGCUCACAAACACCAAUCGUAUAGUACCUCCGUAGUAUACUCUACUUUGGAUGUUUUAAUAUCUUGUCUGCACUCUGCACUUGAUAAUCUAUAGAUUUAGAUACUUGAUGUUAUAUAUUUUUCUCUGGUCUCCUGAAUGUUGGUGCUGAUUAAUACGUAGUAUUAAAUGUAUGCAUCUUUCUCAUUCUGAAAGUUUCCCAGCUUUCCUGACCAUCAAAUGUCUAUUCACCAUUGUUACUCUUGCCUGGAGUAGUCUGUUACACUUAUCAGGCCUAGGCAGGUCAUUCACACUACCGAAAAGUUUGGUUUCAGUAAGACUUAAUCUGGUAACCUAUUUUGUCUUUCCCUUCUUCGCGGUUUGGGAGAGAUACCGCAGAGAAGACCACCAGAGAAACGGUCGUCCCGGACCCAGACUAUCAUCGCUAUACUUGGUGAGCUCUAGAGGGAUAUCUGGUGUGUCUGCAUAUGCAUAAAAUCUUCUUGCCGCUGCACCUGUUGACCUACUGGGGCUGCUUCUCUUGUUUCAGGAUUGCAAAAAGGUGUCGGCUUGAGAUUGACCACAUCUGUUGUAUCUACCUGGAGGCCGGCUCUCUCAGUUCACUCAAGAGCAUCUUUGUUCCGCUGUAGAUGAAAACGUAAGAUGCCAGAGCCACGACGUGAGUGCAUCUGCUUCCCCUUAGGAGAACAUGGUCUGAUGAAAGGAGGGUGAUGAAUGCGCCAUGGGGCAAGUCACCUGGAUUGUGUUAUGUUGGAGGGUGAUGAAUGUGCCAUGAGGCAAGUCCGUCUGAUGAAAGGUGUGGACGGAAGAGGGACAAUAACUACGGGGUUGGUGAAAGGUUGAAAGAAAGCUCUUAUGUGUCUUUGGUCUCGACACCACAUGUAGGUAGCCGUCGUUGAUAAUCCAAACUUUGAAAAGUUUAUUUCAAGGUUCAUAACUCUGUUGUCAAUGGGGAAAAUGUUAUCUGCUUCAAGUGAUGUGGCGUAUAAAAGGUCGAACGUCAAGACGAUCAGGUGGAUGUAUCCAAAAAUAUGCUUUUGUGGAACUAUAUAGGUUCUUUGUCUCACAUUGCCGUUGUGGCUUGCUUUUCCUGUAUGAAAAGUACACUAUCUGUAUCGAACUUGAUGUGGAUUGAUCGACCUUGCUUGCUUUUGGCACAAGUAUAUAUUUCCAUUUCCUAUGAACUUCCAGAUGAA